RNAcentral lists this unclassified non-coding RNA (341 nucleotides) under uncultured fungus. Its description in RNAcentral is "partial contains small subunit ribosomal RNA, internal transcribed spacer 1, and 5.8S ribosomal RNA". The stretch from base 1 to 73 matches the Rfam family "Eukaryotic small subunit ribosomal RNA", at positions 1759 to 1831 of the family's 1831-position model. Lineage: Eukaryota; Fungi. The record is from RNAcentral.
CCAAACUUGGUCAUUUAGAGGAAGUAAAAGUCGUAACAAGGUUUCCGUAGGUGAACCUGCGGAAGGAUCAUUAUUGAAAGUAUUCAGGCAGUUGCUGCUGGCCUCUUACGGGGCAUGUGCACACUGUCAGAAUUUUUCUAUAUCCACCUGUGCACUUUUUGUAGAAGUUCUUUAGAUUGGCUUAUAGGUUUCGACCUUGCGAGUUGAUUCAAAAGGCUUCUAUGUUUUACAAACUAGUUAAGCAUGUUUAGAAUGUCUUUUAUCGGGACUUAAUUGACCCUUUAAACUAUACAACUUUCAGCAACGGAUCUCUUGGCUCUCCCAUCGAUGAAGAACGCAGC